This 631-nucleotide ribosomal RNA is filed under the name uncultured bacterium. RNAcentral describes it as "bacterial SSU rRNA". It matches the Rfam family "Bacterial small subunit ribosomal RNA", at positions 39 to 718 of the family's 1533-position model. The record is from RNAcentral.
GCGGCAGGCUAACACAUGCAAGUCGAACGGGAUCUUCGGAUCUAGUGGCGGACGGGUGAGUAACGCGUGGGAAUAUGCCCUUCGGUUCGGAAUAGCCUCGGGAAACUGNGAGUAAUACCGGAUACGGUCUACGGACGAAAGAUUUAUCGCCGAAGGAUUACCCGCGUUGGAUUAGGUAGUUGGUGGGGUAAUGGCCUACCAAGCCGACGAUCCAUAGCUGGUUUGAGAGGAUGAUCAGNCACACUGGGACUGAGACACGGCCCAGACUCCUACGGGAGGCAGCAGUGGGGAAUCUUAGACAAUGGGGGCAACCCUGAUCUAGCCAUGCCGCGUGAUCGAUGAAGGCCUUAGGGUUGUAAAGAUCUUUCAGUGGGGAAGAUAAUGACGGUACCCACAGAAGAAGCCCCGGCUAACUCCGUGCCAGCAGCCGCGGUAAUACGGAGGGGGCUAGCGUUAUUCGGAAUUACUGGGCGUAAAGCGCACGUAGGCGGACCGGAAAGUCAGAGGUGAAAUCCCAGGGCUCAACCUUGGAACUGCCUUUGAAACUCCUGGUCUUGAGGUCGUGAGAGGUGAGUGGAAUUCCGAGUGUAGAGGUGAAAUUCGUAGAUAUUCGGAGGAACACCAGUGGCGA